RNAcentral lists this ribosomal RNA (297 nucleotides) under uncultured bacterium. RNAcentral describes it as "partial 16S ribosomal RNA". It matches the Rfam family "Bacterial small subunit ribosomal RNA", at positions 46 to 334 of the family's 1533-position model. The record is from RNAcentral.
UAGGCCUAACACAUGCAAGUCGAACGGCAGCACCAUAAGAGCUUGCUCUUAUGGGUGGCGAGUGGCGGACGGGUGAGGAAUACAUCGGAAUCUACUUUUUCGUGGGGGAUAACGUAGGGAAACUUACGCUAAUACCGCAUACGACCUACGGGUGAAAGCAGGGGACCUUCGGGCCUUGCGCGAUUGAAUGAGCCGAUGUCGGAUUAGCUAGUUGGCGGGGUAAAGGCCCACCAAGUAGACGAUCCGUAGCUGGUCUGAGAGGAUGAUCAGCCACACUGGAACUGAGACACGGUUCAG